AACUCCUGCAGUGCCUGCAACUGAUCGGUCAUGGCGCGCAGGACGGAAUCCGCAUCCGGAUUGAUUACGCUCUGGGCUCG
This 80-nucleotide small RNA is filed under the name Sinorhizobium meliloti 2011. RNAcentral describes it as "putative ncRNA". Lineage: Bacteria; Pseudomonadati; Pseudomonadota; Alphaproteobacteria; Hyphomicrobiales; Rhizobiaceae. The record is from RNAcentral.